This 75-nucleotide transfer RNA is filed under the name Candidatus Schekmanbacteria bacterium RBG_13_48_7. RNAcentral describes it as "tRNA-Val". It matches the Rfam family "tRNA". Rfam says of the family: Transfer RNA (tRNA) molecules are approximately 80 nucleotides in length. Their secondary structure includes four short double-helical elements and three loops (D, anti-codon, and T loops). Lineage: Bacteria; Candidatus Schekmaniibacteriota. The record is from RNAcentral.
AGGCACGUAGCUCAGGGGGAGAGCGCUACCCUGACGCGGUAGAUGCCGGCGGUUCAAAUCCGCCCGUGCCUACCA